GCCUCCUGUUGGCUCUUGACGGGCAGCGUGGCCGCCUGCUGGCCGGCUUUGCCUUUGUUGGUGGCCCCGGGGGACCCGGCGGGGCUGGGCUCUGACACACCGUUCAUCGCCUCGCCAUCCUCCUGGAAAUACCGCAGCAGCGGAUUUAAGAGCGGCGGCAUGCAGAGCACAGCACAAUCACAGCGUUGCUGUGGAGACACGCCACACAUGGGCACCAAAGAUCAAGAAAGAGCGUAUGUGAAACAAUGGCCGGCUGGCCGCCUCUUAGCAACCUUGAUUCCUGGGCCCUUUCUGUUUGACCACCAGAUUUGUUCAGGUUUAGUCCUGCUUGAAUUCAGGGUAAAUCCAGGUCGGGGUUAGUCCUGCUCCAUUUAGAAUGAAUUCCUGAAUGAAUCCGGGUUUUUUUCAGUCAGAUUUAAGUAUCAUUCAACACUGAUUUUUCAGAUUUUCUUGUCUAAUAAUAGUUUAGGAUGAGGUAUGUCCCGUCCUGUCACAGUCCAUGUUUAGGCAAUGUUUAAUCCAGGUUAAAUCCAUGUUUCAUCCUGGCCUCGUUGUGAUUUACCGCUGGACUGAUUACACUCUCAAUCAAGAGUCAUUCUAGUCCUAAUUCCUAAGUCCUAGUUCUAAUCCUGAUUUUGUUGUGCUUCAUUUAUGAUUAAUGCUGGGAUUCACCCAUCAUUACUUUAACCUAGGUUUAUUUAUCGUUAAAUUCAGUAUGGGUUCAAUCCCGGUAAAGCACGGGGAUGAAUCCAGGUUUUGAGAAGGAUUCAUUUAUCAUUCACUCGUUUGAGUUCAAUCGUGGUUCGUUCAAGGUGUAGUCUAGGCUUGGUCCCGGUGUAGAAUUACUUGAAUGCAGGUGUGGUCCUGGUUGAAUUCUGAAUUUCAACCCAGAUCUCUUUUAGUCGUCAGUAGGACUGCCUAAAUCCGGUCCAGACAGUUUUGGGUGCAACCUGAUAGUGCUUGAUGACGAGCCUCAUGAUUUUAAUCAGGUAUGUCACAGUUAAGCUGCACCCAAAACAGGAUGGGUCAAUGGGGGGGGUCUCGAGGACCAGACUCGGGCACCCCUGGUCUAAUCCCUGCGUAGCCAGAUUUUUGGGGCAAACGCCGGCAGCCGAGGAAAGAGUUUCAAUUGUUGAAGAAGACGACAAAUGAGGAGAAGGAGUGUGAGCGGCUCAUGCGGUCGCGGCAUGCAAGGCGGUAAAACCAUCUCAAACAAUCAAGUCCCACUUGGGUGCAAUUGCUUGGAACCACACCUCGCCCACGGCAAGCCGAUCCCAAACGACUGGUCGGUCGGUUCAUUACCACGCCUUGCAAGCGCUUCGCUGGGCCGGAGCCGAGCGGGGAGGGACGGAAGACCAAUCCUGCUUCCGGCUCCAGCGGGAACUCGCGCAGACGGGUUUUCCCAAGCGAACCUUGGAGGUGCUCAGGAUGGGUCGCUCGCAACAAGACAAGUUGGCAGCGGCGGUGUGCUCAACCGGCCCACGCCACUCAACUGGCCCGCGCGGCUCGAUUCGGUGACCACGUGAACACUCGCCUGGCUCUCUAAGUGCUCUGGCAUUGGCCGGCGACCAAUCCAGCGCAUGGUCUGAAAACGGACGCUUCUUGAUGAUUAUUAAUUCAUGCUCACGACAACCUAGUGACAAAAUGAUGUCCGUCUGCUUCCAAAUAUGACAAGCGGCGCACUCUGAGUUCAUUCAUGCGAUUUACCAAAUGUGAUCCUGUAAAUUUAAAUCUCCCAUUAGUUCCGAAAACAGAACAGUACAGCGGAGCUUCUCAUUGAAGAGUGUCAUGUUUGACAUUGGAAACGUUUGUGUUUUCAACGACUGCGCGCAUCCAUGAAGAGGCAUGUGACACACGGACAAACAAAAGGUGGAGGCCGGCGCUCAGGUCGGGACAUUCGAGACCUUUUAUUGCCUUUGUUAAUCGAGACGUGACGUGUCAAAACAUACACAAAUUAAGACAAUGAAAUGGUUCAAAUGAGAUGAGAAGACAACAAAAAGAAACGUGUGGGAAAAUGACAACAAAAAGACACAACUGUCGUGAAGACCCCAGACCAGACAUGGGCAAGCUAUGGCCCGCGGGCCACAUCCGGCCCACGGGACCGUUUAAUACAGCCUGCCAAACCUGAAUAAAUUGUAUGAUUAAACCAUUUUUGGGUCAUUUUCCCUGCAAUGACUGCAUUUCUCCAGUAGAUGGGGAAACGGGCGCCCGCGCAUUUACUCCGGGACGCCGUGUCACAAAGCUCAGAUGCACACUCACAAGUGUGUGUACGUACUCAGGAGUACAGACCCGGCGCACUCAGCGCUCUAUUUCUAUCAGUGCCGAAUUUCGAGUGUGGGCUGACGUCAGCAUUCUCGUAAUUUGCGCGCUGAGCUUUCAGAUACAGUUUUACGCUAAAGUUACCCACAAACAUUCCCCUGGAAUCCUUCCAUUUAAAUGAGUGGCCCAAGGAAAAGAAAGGCGGACACUGAGUGCCGAGUGUUUAAAAAAUAGUGGACAAUUUGGCUCGACGUGUGUGUGAGCAGCCACGUGAACAUCAACAAAGCCCCGUCACAGAUCUAGGUUAACGGACACCUCGGCUCUAUCCUAAGAAUUGCCACAACAAAUUUGACUCCAGACCAUGAUGCACUAGCAAAAAAAGGGAGACCAACAUCACUGUUCCCACUGAAAAUGAAGGGGAGUUUCUCUAGUUUGUUGUUAAAAAAAAAAAAGCAAUUUGAAAAUAAUUUGUACAAAUAGCAGGGAUUGAAACUAGCGACCAUUCUCAUUUUCAAACAAUACAGAAUGCUCAAGGGCAUUGAUGCACCACCCGUUUGCGACUAAUCUUAACUUUUAAAGGUUUUAAGGCCGACUUGUUUCCCGUUUCCUCACCUCUGUCACCAGGUGUUUGUGAGUUCGAGCUCUGCUCUGAUUUUCAGAUAUCCGUCACCGUGUUACCGUUUUGAUUUCUUUAUUACUUUAUUUAGAUGUAUUCUUUCACUGAUUCUUCAAGAUGAUGUAUUUGGUCAGAAUGUUUGCCGUUUUAUGUGAUUUCGCCUCAUAAAUUAAAUAAACAUCUUUCAUAAAUCUGACCUGCAGCCGCUGAAGUGAUGGAAACUGUUAUUCAUAAUAACAGUGUCGUAUUUAAUGAGAAUCACUUUAGUUUUUUGUUGAAAUGUUUUUUAAUGCUGUUAAUAAAUGCA
This is a long non-coding RNA of Syngnathus typhle (broad-nosed pipefish), 3182 nucleotides long. RefSeq lists it as uncharacterized. The transcript is spliced from 2 exons. Lineage: Eukaryota; Metazoa; Chordata; Actinopteri; Syngnathiformes; Syngnathidae. The record is from RefSeq and is a predicted model, not a curated record.